Long non-coding RNA from Melanotaenia boesemani (Boeseman's rainbowfish), 488 nucleotides. RefSeq lists it as uncharacterized. The transcript has 4 exons. Lineage: Eukaryota; Metazoa; Chordata; Actinopteri; Atheriniformes; Melanotaeniidae. The record is from RefSeq and is a predicted model, not a curated record.
UGUGUCCACCCCGCCUGUGUCCACCUCCCUUACUCCACCAGUGUCUGGCCUCCAGAAGAAAAGAAAAUCAUGUAGGAAUGCAGACAUUAGUGAAUGCCCCAUUCAUCAAGGUCUAAGCGUUUUCCCCUACAAAAGGAUUCUGAGGCAAAGACUCAGAGAGGGUUGUGUCGAGGUGUUGGUGGAGUGGCAACCUUGCUCUGGAUGUGGAGCAAAGUGGAAAAACUCCUGGGAGCCCAAAGACAACGUUCUUCCUUAAAAAAAAUUGUUAAAAUUGUGUUUGUUGUGUUAUGUGACACAAAUUUGUUUUGGUAAGUUGUUUGUUUUCUGUUGUUGGGAAGGUAAUAAACAUAUUGUUUUACUUUCAAACACUUUGUCAUUGUGUUAUAUUAUUGUUGGAUGCAUUUCAUGUAAUUCUGAGAAGCAUCAGCUCGAGGGCUGAUGAAUAUUGGUACCUGAACAACACAAGCGUGAUGAGAUACUUUUGGUGC